Molecule: long non-coding RNA, 277 nt
Filed under: Elaeis guineensis (African oil palm)
Lineage: Eukaryota; Viridiplantae; Streptophyta; Magnoliopsida; Arecales; Arecaceae
Description: long non-coding RNA (EGUI_LNC005388)
Source: RNAcentral
ACUGGCAAUAAAUUAAUUAUAAUUUCUAGUUAAUAUGCUCCACUUACUUCGGUUUAGAGAGAGACAGAGAGAGAAUCGGCAAAGCUUCCGUUUAGGGGCUGGCCAGAGAGAAUGCAUAUAUAUUAAGGGACUCGUGGAUAAUAUUUUCUUCCUGGAAGGAGUUAUGGUUAACAAUAAUCAUACAUAGAAUGCUUACUUCAAGUGCUCAAUUUCACACCUGGGUGACUGUGAAUAAUCAUCAUAUUCCUUAAAAAAAACAGGGAGGGAGGGGCGGAGA